This is a long non-coding RNA of Meriones unguiculatus (Mongolian gerbil), 5172 nucleotides long. RefSeq lists it as uncharacterized. The transcript is spliced from 8 exons. Lineage: Eukaryota; Metazoa; Chordata; Mammalia; Rodentia; Muridae. The record is from RefSeq and is a predicted model, not a curated record.
GUCCUCAUCAAGUUGGGCUGCAAAUCAGGGUGCCAGCAAGCCUGCCUUAGCAACUUGGUUUCCUCCUGCGUGAUGCUAUGCUAGCUGCUAAGAUGGGUCACUCAGACAACAAAGAAGGAUGCUUGACUUCUCCUGUGAUGCUAGCUGAACAUAAUUCUUCUUUUUGCAGUGUUCCUUUCUCUCUCUCUCUCUCAUGUGUGUAUGUGUGUGUGUAAAAUUCAUCAAACCAAAGACCCUCCUAGAUAUCAUUGUGGACGUGGCUUUUAAUGAUUUAGGGGGAAAAAAGAGAAAGAAAAAAAUGACAGCCUGUGGAGACAGCGAUUUGAGGAAGCAGCACACUGAGGUUAUUGCCAAUUUGAAACACUGGGUUUGUGAAGCCAAGUCCUAAGGGAGUAGCCGGGUAACUGAGAAAGAGAUCGUAGAUAAAGAAAUAAAAAUGACAAGCGUAAUGGAGGCUCUGCGAAGGGACUGUCAGAGCGUCAGUUCAUGGAUGGCAAUCUCGCCAGGCAGAGAUUGAAUAAUUCAUAGAUGGAAACUACCCUGCCUUCACCUUCCCAUUUAAACCGGGCAUGAGCUGAAUCUCUAAUAAAUUUUCAAGAUAAAGUAAAAUGCCAAUUUGAAUCUGAAGAGCUUUUAAAAGCAGAUGUCGCAUCCCCGAAUCUUUCGGUAUCUUUCACAAUUAUGCUCUGAGGACUGCACUUCAUCAGGAAGCACCAUUACCAGGCAAAAUGACUGUGAUUACAAUAGCAACAAUAGAAUGCCAUCAAAUGAUCUCUAAUUUACCUAAUUUGCUAAGACUGACUGGCUUAAAUACCCAUUGUGCGUUGCCAUGCCCAGUCCAUGGAUCUAUCUCAAGACAGAAUAAAAGUGGUGUGGUGUGUACGCUACCUUGAUUCACACAGUCCAGGGGAGAACGGUCCCCUAAGUUACAAUGUGUCUUUCAUCUGCUUUUUGUCUUUGUCCGGUUUGGUUUUUUUCCCCCCUGAUGCUUUGCCCUAAAUGCCUUUUGAGGGAAAAUGGCGAGCUGUCUUUGCUACAGAACAACACUGACUUGUUAAUUUAUACACUUCUUAAAUUUUAAAAUAUACAAGCAUGUGUCUGUUUGAGAGGAGGACAGAUUCAGUGCUGGGAGAGAGGUUUAACAAGCCAGCUGGGAGUGUGUGUGUGUGUGUGUGUGUGUGUGUGUGUGUGUGUGGUGUUUCCUCCAUAUGAAAUUCUUUCCCUGGAUUUGUGAUCCCUGUGGUUUGUUAAGAGCCUCUCCGAUUGCAAAUCUCAGGUAGCAGAGGCAGCAAUCACUCCAUAUAGCUCUUUCCCAGAGGCUGUGUGCCUGAUUCCAUGAUGCGUCAAGGCUUUAAGGCUGCGUGGCUGUGUUUGUGCCUGCUCAGUGUACAGAAAUCUGUGCUAAAGAGAACUUUUUGCCUGGCAGACUGCACCGUUCAUCUCCGGGUGACCGUGCCAUUCUGAGAAGGUGGCACGGACUGCCGCUCCUCUUCUGGGGAGCAGAGCGGAAUCAUUUAGCAGACAUGGGGGUUUCUGGAAUUGUCCUUAUAGCAUGGAGACAGCACGUGGUUCGUGCCAGCCAGCAUUUGAAUGUUUCAGGAAGGGAUCGGAGGGUUGAGUGGAGCCCAAGCUGGCCUCAAACUGGCUCUUUAACUGAGGAUGACCUUGAACUUCCAAUCCUGCCUCAUUCUCCAGAAGUCUGGGAUUACAGACCUGCACAAAGAGAGUGAGGAACACACUGAACGGGACAGAGAAACUACAUUAGUAGCGACCGGCCACUUAGCAACUGCUUUGCAGCUCAACUAUGGCUAUUUCAGUUUUGUGGUUUUAUGACUCAGAGAAGUGGUACUGAAUAGCACCAAGCACAUACUAAGUGCUUACCACCUACUGAUGGAUGAACACCGCUGUAAAGAAACUACAUUUGAAAAGAAUUGUGGUGGGGGUGGCUGUGCUGUCACAUGGAGGGAAGCAAUCAAACCAAAGGCUGGGACAAAAGCUGUGAACCGAAAUAGUUUAAAUGCAUUUAAGCUUAAAUCACUGCAUCCUUUCUCUUUUUGUGGGUUGAUUGUCUCAGGCAUUUUGUCAUAGCUAUAAAACACCAAUUACGCACCAGACAGUGUAUGAGAGUUACCACAUAUUUGCCUGUGUGUGCUCCGCUGCCCCUUGGAAUGGCUAUGUGACUUUGCCUACCAAAGGACCAUGAGCAGAGGGUGCCUAGCAAGGUUUCUCAACAUUGGAACAAUAUAUUCUGGAUCCACCUUUUUUUUUUUUUUUUUUUUUUUUUUUUUUUUUUUGUGGCAGAAUGAAAGAUUCCAAAGGUAAGAGCUCCAUGCUAAACAUGUUUGAAGAGGACACAGAAGCAUCUGGGGUCCUCCUUGCCAUGGCUGUUGCUAUGCAACAAGCCUUGACUGCCAAGGUCCGGAACUCUCACGAUAGAGGAUAGUCUUGUGGCUCUCAGACCUGAGUGGGCACCUGUGGUGAUUCAAAGGACUCUAGAAUAAGAAAAUCCGAAUGGAACCUAAAACCUAAUGUUCUAAACUCAGAUGGCGCUGAUCCACCCAUUGAAGACAACUAUCAGAAACCCUUGAACAACAGGACUGCUCUCCAUAGAAGCCACUGCCCUGAGAACCCUCACAGGCUCACAGAGCGAAUCUAAUCUCUCACCUCUAAGAAGGGCUAAGAGUUCACUGAGACACAAGAACUGAAUCCUGAGGCUUUGCAUAACCAUUAAGAAUAAUUCAUGCCCCGCCCUCUUUUAAAGGUGCUGUCAGGGACGCAACAUAACCAGUCAACCUCCUGCUUCUGCCACCAUGACUUCUCCACUAUGAUAGACUGCACCUGCUCAGACUGCUGACUUGAAACUCACUGUGUGGCCUCAGACUCACAGCCAUCCUUCUGCCUCAGCCUGCCAGGUGCUGGGAUGACAGCAUGAAACACCUAUCUGCUCUGAAGAGGCAGUUUUAAAGGGUCCUUCUCAUUGCUGGGAUAAGAAAAUGAAUGCUAAAGGAACAACAGAAGCAUAGGAAGAUGACAUAAGAUGACAUCGCCUUUAACUAAACAAAAGACCAGGGUGGGGACUGUAGACAUGGCUGUGUGAGCCAUGUGUAAGCAUAAGGACCCGAGUUCAGAUCUCCAGAACUUAUAUAAAAAGCCAAGUAUGGGAGUAAUGGCCUACAGUCCCAACAUUUGGAGGUGGAGACAGAAAUAUCUCUGCAGCUGGUCUAGCUGAACUGAUGAGGUCCAGGUUCAGGGAGAGACCCUGUUAAAACAAGGUAGAGAGCAGCCGAGAUGCCUACUCUAGCCUCCACAUGCAUACCGCCAUCACAAGUGCAGAUACAUAUAAAACUUUUAAAAAAUAAGUUCUUUUAAGAGAGGGCAAGGGUGGCACAGGGCUGUCGGCAUGGAAACAGGAGCAGCAAGAAACAGUUAGAUAGUGGAUAGAUGCUCUCGAAAGUGGGCAAACUAUUUGCAUCACGAGACCAAGGGUUUGGGCCUAACUGAAGGGAAGAAUGAAGCUGCCAUUGAUUGAGCUCAGAAUGACCACAGGGAGAACAGGUCGGCUGGUGGGAUCAGCCAUGAAGAUCUGAACCUGUUAGCCUUGAGACUCCUGUUGCUGGUGGUACUGGAUUAGAAGCAGAGGCUCAGAUAUCUGGAUGGCGGAGGCAGUAAAUAGGUGGCAUUUAAGCCCUGAAAUGGAUGAGCUCCUCCGUAAGUGAGUCAUCCCAUAUCUGAAAGUCAACUAAAAAACCAGCCUGGACCCAGUGAUAAGAGAUCAUUUGUGUGGGGAGAGAAAAAAGUCAUAACAGAGCAUGGAAACUCAACGAGUAUUUAUACUCCAGAUCCAGUUUUCACUAGACAUCUCAAAACGGUUCAAUAAAGAGUCAACACAGACAGUAAGGGCAGUGUUUGCCAAAGACAAAUCACAGCUGCUUCAGAAAGGGGAUUGGGACAGCCAUGGAUCACAGCUUGCCUGUUACACGGCCUCAUCCACUCUACAUACUCCAAGUAGACGGAGGAUUUAAGAAGAACCACAUACCCUCCCAUGACCUCUAGACGCUUGACGCUCCUGUGAGUUUAACCGUGUACUUCAACUGAUUUUGUUUUUCUAAAUAAGUACCUGUACUUUCGAUAAGACAUGCUAAGAAACAUCAACACACAUGGCAUAGAGCUUUAAAACAGUAAGAGCGUUUACAUUUUUCCAUCUGUGCAAUGAAACUGUUAAGAGACAAUGCUGGAUGUCUAGCUAUCUCUAUGUAUUGGUGGCCCUGGUGCCCGUACUCUCCUAGCUCACUGGCGGAAGUUCUAAAAGACCCUUAGAAGAGAAGAGUCCCCUCUAUCACUUGAGGACCAAAAAUCCAUUUUGCAACUGCAAGGCCGUGCAAAAAACUAAAAUGAAAAAAGAAAUUUUGCUGUCUGGUUUCGUGGAGUUUCCAGGUAGUAUCCAGAGGUAUGUAUGAGCUGGUAUGUCGGUCAUACUGAAUUUUCACUGAAUCCUCUCCACUCUUGACCCAGAACUCCCACCCGCAGUGGAACCUGUUAAAAUUAAACUAAUGGUAACACUUUGUUUAAUUUCAUGACUUGCAAGGAGAGCUCCCUCUCCAAGAACCACUGAUUGCUUUUGUUCCUUUCCUGGGGGCAAAAUGCUUUCAUACCCUUGAAGGGGAGGUCCUUCUCGGCUGAGCCAGCUGUCUCUCAGCAAAACCAAAACAUACGCUGAGCAUUGCUGUCAGCGGUUAAACUCACCGACAGGACCCCCACUCCCACAGCUGGCCACGCAAAUACAAGGGCCGGGUGGCCUUUUCUUGGAGUGAGUUAUGCUGGCUGGCGAAGUCUCCAUGCAGAAAUCUCUCCCAGACGUCCAGAGCCCUGCUGCCUGUAACCAGCAGUGAGCCAUUUUUUUUUUUUUCUUAUUAGCACUGUGUGGAAAACAUUCUUCAAAAGGGCUUCAUGUUGAAGUCAGCGGGAAGGUGGGAAGGAGGUGUCGCAUAAAGAGUAAGGAAAGGGAGCUGACAGCGAGGGGGUGGCAUACAACUGUGGGGGCCACAGUUUUAUUACGGGCUGUAUUGCUAUCCUGGUACAAACAGAGUAGGUAACAAUUAAGAGAGAAUGAUUCCAGUAUGGCCCAAACCCACAAGCUCAUGUCUAAUGUGGUCUUAUUAUUUGUUUAUAUGA